This 961-nucleotide long non-coding RNA is filed under the name Zonotrichia albicollis (white-throated sparrow). Its description in RNAcentral is "lncRNA (ENSZALG00000018074.1)". The record is from RNAcentral. Lineage: Eukaryota; Metazoa; Chordata; Aves; Passeriformes; Passerellidae.
CACCCUAGGAAAACUAGUCAGUGAGGAUCAGGCAUAGAUACAACUGCUGCACAGUUCAGCUCUGAAGGCUUCAGCCAGAGCUGAAGUAAAGUUCCUGUGAUCAUGCAGAAGGUGCAGGUGGAGCCAGUCACAGAAAUAAAUCCUGUUAGUGCAUGCUUUAAGUGUGCAUAUUACUCCAUCCUCUGCAGCAUAUUUGCAGAGGAUGGAGUAAUAUGCUAAGUCUAGUCUGUGGAGGUAGAUGUUUUAAAUACUCUUGUUCUUUAUCUGCUAAAUAUUGUAGCAAGGGUUCGAUCAUCAUUCAGAAUCUGAAGUGGAGGAAUCUGAGGACCACACACCCAUAGUUGAAUCCCCACCAUCACUGGAUGACUUACCUGGCCUGGAAACACCAGCAUCUGCAGCCCAGCCAUCUGUAGUGGAAUUGCCACUAUCUGCAGACCAGCUGGCUGUCAAGAAGCCACCCCAUUCCGAGCACCAUUUCCAGCUCACUGUAUAGUCUGCAUCCAGGGAAAGCUCACCUGAGAUCAGAUCACCUCUGGGUGAACUUCCAGGUUUCAAAGUCAAGAUGCACACCUCUGAAUCCACACAGGAUGGCAGUAACACCGUUGAGGCUGUGUUGUCAGCAGCAGAGAUUGCAUUUGAAUCAUUGGAGAAUCCAGAGGAUUUUGGAGACCCCUAUCAAGUUGCCAUGAAUUAUGUGGAGGAACAUAAAAUUCUACAGCUAUUUCAGGAUAUCACAGAAAAACUGCUGAUCCAUAAGCCUGAUGACCCCUUGCAGUUCAUAUUGCUGGAGGUAGGGUGCCUUGCUGGGGCUCUGUGGGAACAGGGUCAGCUUUGCAGAGCACACCAGAGUCAUGGUCAGCCCAGGACUGUUUCCCUGACUGUGUGUCUGCUGUCUUGGGAGGGAGAAAAGCACAGGCAGCAGCAGAGGGCCUAGGGUGCAAGGACCAUGUGUGCUCUGAGA